RNAcentral lists this ribosomal RNA (585 nucleotides) under uncultured bacterium. RNAcentral's name for it is "partial 16S ribosomal RNA". It matches the Rfam family "Bacterial small subunit ribosomal RNA", at positions 355 to 1375 of the family's 1533-position model. The record is from RNAcentral.
UGGGGAAUUUUGGACAAUGGGGGCAACCCUGAUCCAGCAAUGCCGCGUGUGUGAAGAAGGCCUUCGGGUUGUAAAGCACUUUUGUCCGGAAAGAAAUCCUUGGCUCUAAUACAGUCGGGGGAUGACGGUACCGGAAGAAUAAGCACCGGCUAACUACGUGCCAGCAGCCGCGGUAAUACGUAGGGUGCAAGCGUUAAUCGGAAUUACUGGGCGUAAAGCGUGCGCAGGCGGUUUGCUAAGACCGAUGUGAAAUCCCCGGGCUCAACCUGGGAACUGCAUUGGUGACUGGCAGGCUAGAGUAUGGCAGAGGGGGGUAGAAUUCCACGUGUAGCAGUGAAAUGCGUAGAGAUGUGGAGGAAUACCGAUGGCGAAGGCAGCCCCCUGGGCCAAUACUGACGCUCAUGCACGAAAGCGUGGGGAGCAAACAGGAUUAGAUACCCUGGUAGUCCACGCCCUAAACGAUGUCAACUAGUUGUUGGGGAUUCAUUUCCUUAGUAACGUAGCUAACGCGUGAAGUUGACCGCCUGGGGAGUACGGUCGCAAGAUUAAAACUCAAAUGAAUUGACGGGGUCAUAGCUGUUUCCU